GGCCUCGUAGUUCGGUUGGCUAGAGCGUUGACUGAACUGAAACCUUUUCCUUGCCCGCGUUGGUUCGAAUCCCACCGAGGCCA
Non-coding RNA from Schistocephalus solidus, 83 nucleotides. NCBI's taxonomy places the organism in Eukaryota, Metazoa, Platyhelminthes, Cestoda, Diphyllobothriidea, Diphyllobothriidae. The record is from Rfam.